CCAAACUUGGUCAUUUAGAGGAAGUAAAAGUCGUAACAAGGUCUCCGUAGGUGAACCUGCGGAGGGAUCAUUAGAAAUGCUUUGUUUCUUCUCUUGCUGUCGUUCGUUCCUCAACCGGGAACGGGAGGCACAAUGAGAAACAUCAUUUCCCGGUUUCCAGGAGCGCUGCCCGGCUACUCUCUCUCUGAGGGGGGAUGGUGGUGGUGGUGUAACUGGUGACCGGAUACCUUCUCAAGGGAUCUUUCGUAUCCCUUGGGGAAUUAUCUAUACCUAUCUUUGUCUGAAUCUUUCAUACAACAUCCGGGUUGGUUGGCUCGCGCCGAUAAACACGAAUGAAGUAUAACUAAAUAAUAUUAAUACAACUUUCAACAAUGGAUCCCUCGAUUCUCCCAUCAAUGAAGAACGCAGC
This 409-nucleotide unclassified non-coding RNA is filed under the name uncultured fungus. Its description in RNAcentral is "partial contains small subunit ribosomal RNA, internal transcribed spacer 1, and 5.8S ribosomal RNA". The stretch from base 1 to 73 matches the Rfam family "Eukaryotic small subunit ribosomal RNA", at positions 1759 to 1831 of the family's 1831-position model. Lineage: Eukaryota; Fungi. The record is from RNAcentral.